Molecule: small RNA, 165 nt
Filed under: Alicyclobacillus sp.
Lineage: Bacteria; Bacillati; Bacillota; Bacilli; Caryophanales; Alicyclobacillaceae
Description: c-di-AMP sequence
Rfam family: c-di-AMP riboswitch aptamer (ydaO/yuaA leader)
About the family: This family represents a conserved RNA structure found upstream of the ydaO and yuaA genes in Bacillus subtilis and related genes in other bacteria. The ydaO/yuaA element is thought to act as a genetic "off" switch for the ydaO and yuaA genes in its native state.
Source: RNAcentral
AUGAUUCUACAUCCGAACUCUUUGCACUCUGGAGACGGGGGACGAAAGUAAUGGGGCGAAUCGGGGCGAGGAAGCGUGAUCUUGGCGCGUAUCUUGGUACCGUAGGGGUGAGAAGCCGUAUCCCGAGCCCGUCAACUAACCUCGUAGGAUGAAAGGGGCUUACUG